Malaclemys terrapin pileata is the source of this 1459-nucleotide long non-coding RNA. RefSeq lists it as uncharacterized. The record is from RefSeq and is a predicted model, not a curated record. The transcript is spliced from 6 exons. Lineage: Eukaryota; Metazoa; Chordata; Testudines; Emydidae.
AAGGGUGGACACUAAGACCCGGUGGGAGCCCCUAACCACUUGGCACCCUAGGCGGCUAGUUCGCCUAGUGGUUGCACCAGUCCUGCAUACCACUAAGCCACUGAUGCCUAUUGAACUUAUCCAUAGAGCAGCCCCAUGGACUCUCUCUCUCCUCUCCUCUCAUUGUGCCGUCUCCCUUCAUAGGACAAGGGGAGGUGUGGUAGGUGUGCGUCCCCACAGGCUAGGUCUCGGGAGUCAUGAAGAAGUAGGAGGGGACGAAAAUCAUGCAGGGCAGUGGGUGCGAGAAUGGAGCGGUGACUGUCGGUGUUAACUCGGUCUCUGUUCAUUGAGGGGGGCAGAUGUAGAUAUGAUGGAAAAGGGAGGCAGGGAUGAGGGCAAGAGCUCUGUGUAAUGACGGCUCAUGCUUGGCUUUUGCAGCUGCUCUUACAGAGGAAUUGUUGUUCAGGAGCCCUAGGCAGAGGAGAAGCUGGCAGAAGUGGAUCUGAGCAGCUUGGACAUCCUUCUAAGCAGAUAUGAACAGUCCUCAGCUUUCUGCCUCCCUCAUAACUACACUUCACAACUUUUAGCGGCACGGCUGAAGCCUAAGAUAAAUGCAUGGUAGUAGCUGAGUACACACGGCUGCUUCUCUUUAGUAGGAAGGAGAAAGAAGUCAAGGGUAAGAGCCCACCCCCGGUGUGAGAUGGAAGGCACGCAAGAGCCAUGAGACAGUGAGCAUUGUUGAUGCCAGGCUAUGGCGAUGCCAUCUAGCUGGAAACGGAGCAGCCGUCACUGUCAGUGAGCUAAGUGUCUGGUUUGGUGAGGAGUCUGGUCACGGCCCACAUGGCUCCAGGCAGGGAUGCGCCGUUAGCUUGGUCUGUGUUUGUAAGAAAAGGUUCCCGUCUAGCUGUGGCUACGAGGGAGACAAGGUCCCCCGUUAUCAGGGGCUGCUCAUUUUGUCUGGCCAGGAGCGGUGUGUUCAUCGCAGCGAAAGGUUGCAUCUAGGAGGAUGACUCUAGCUGAGGAACAGUCGAGCAGCAGCCGAAGGAAAAGCUGGCAGAGGUGGACCUGAGCAGCCUGGACAUCCUUGUAAGCAGAGAUUAACAGUCCUCCGCUUUCUGCCUUCCGCAUAACUGACUAGGGAGAAUUUCCCUAUAUUGGGAGCAGCUGAUCUUCCUGGACAGGGAGGAGCAUGUUCACCUGAGCAGAGGCCUGGAACCGGAAAGAGGAAUCGCCCAGGAGCCCCAGCCAGAGGAGAAACUGGAAGAAGUGAACCUGAGCAGCCUGGACAUCCUUGUAAGCAGAGAUGAACAGUCCUCUGCUUUCUGUCUUCUGCAUGACUGGCUCUGCGCUUGCAGAGGAAUUGGCCAGGAGCCCCAGCCACCGGAGAAGCUGGCACAAGUGGACCUGAGCAACCUGGAUAUCCUUCUAAGCAGAUAUGAACAGUCCUCAGGUUUCCGCCUCCCAGAUAAUUGGCUCUGAG